GGUCAUAUAGUGUAGCGGUUAGCACAUGGGAUUCUGAUCCGGCUCGGUCAAUCCGUCCCUGUGCUUAAAUUCCCAUAACCCAGGUUCGAUUCCUGGUAUGACCU
This is a transfer RNA of 104 nucleotides. It matches the Rfam family "tRNA". From Rfam's summary of the family: Transfer RNA (tRNA) molecules are approximately 80 nucleotides in length. Their secondary structure includes four short double-helical elements and three loops (D, anti-codon, and T loops). Further hydrogen bonds mediate the characteristic L-shaped molecular structure. tRNAs have two regions of fundamental functional importance: the anti-codon, which is responsible for specific mRNA codon recognition, and the 3' end, to which the tRNAs corresponding amino acid is attached (by aminoacyl-tRNA synthetases). tRNAs cope with the degeneracy of the genetic code in two manners: having more than one tRNA (with a specific anti-codon) for a particular amino acid; and 'wobble' base-pairing, i.e. permitting non-standard base-pairing at the 3rd anti-codon position. The record is from Rfam.